This 253-nucleotide ribosomal RNA is filed under the name uncultured bacterium. RNAcentral's name for it is "partial 16S ribosomal RNA". It matches the Rfam family "Bacterial small subunit ribosomal RNA", at positions 524 to 776 of the family's 1533-position model. The record is from RNAcentral.
UACAGAGACUGCAAGCGUUAUUCGGAUUCACUGGGCGUAAAGGGUGCGCAGGUGGCCAGGUGUGUCAGAUGUGAAAUCCCGGGGCUUAACUCCGGAACUGCGUCUGAAACUGCUUGGCUAGAGCAUUGGAGAGGGUAGUGGAAUUCACGGUGUAGCAGUGAAAUGCGUAGAUAUCGUGAGGAACACCAGAGGCGAAGGCGACUACCUGGACAAUAGCUGACACUCAGGCACGAAAGCGUGGGGAGCCAAAGGG